This 465-nucleotide ribosomal RNA is filed under the name Vreelandella stevensii. Its description in RNAcentral is "partial 16S ribosomal RNA". It matches the Rfam family "Bacterial small subunit ribosomal RNA", at positions 338 to 795 of the family's 1533-position model. The record is from RNAcentral. Lineage: Bacteria; Pseudomonadati; Pseudomonadota; Gammaproteobacteria; Oceanospirillales; Halomonadaceae.
CCUACGGGUGGCAGCAGUGGGGAAUAUUGGACAAUGGGGGCAACCCUGAUCCAGCCAUGCCGCGUGUGUGAAGAAGGCCCUCGGGUUGUAAAGCACUUUCAGUGAGGAAGAACGCCUGGUGGUUAAUACCCAUCAGGAAAGACAUCACUCACAGAAGAAGCACCGGCUAACUCCGUGCCAGCAGCCGCGGUAAUACGGAGGGUGCGAGCGUUAAUCGGAAUUACUGGGCGUAAAGCGCGCGUAGGUGGCUUGAUAAGCCGGUUGUGAAAGCCCCGGGCUCAACCUGGGAACGGCAUCCGGAACUGUCAAGCUAGAGUGCAGGAGAGGAAGGUAGAAUUCCCGGUGUAGCGGUGAAAUGCGUAGAGAUCGGGAGGAGUACCAGUGGCGAAGGCGGCCUUCUGGACUGACACUGACACUGAGGUGCGAAAGCGUGGGUAGCAAACAGGAUUAGAUACCCUGGUAGUC